GGGGAAAGGGGUUAGGGUGCCGACGGAGGUAGGAGGGCACGAGGUGGGGCUCGCACGGGUCCGAGGCGGAGGAGGAGGAGGAGGAGGAGGUGGUAGGGAAGAGAAGAGUGAGAAGGAGGACACCGCCGGCGGAGGAGAAGAGGGAUAGAAGGAGGAGGAGCGGGGUGCGCUGGGGAGAACACGGCGAGCAGAGGUGAAGCAACGGCGGUAUCUAGCUCCUCCUGCCGCGCUACUGCUGGUACUACGUAGUCUGUAGGGUCUAGCUGCUGCGGUACCUUCGGUACUCUCGACCGGCUCCUUCUCUCCCGUCCCGGCGUCCGGUACUUCCCGUACCGCCGACGCCCGCCUUCGUCGUACCCAACUUCCUCGCCGCCUACACCCGCCCCAGUCUCCAACCCCUUCUGAGCAGCCGACCCGCUGUCCUUCGCGGCCACUCACGUUAGUACGCAAAGGUCUUCGCAGGAUAGGAUGUUCCGUCCGUUCCUGCUGCAGCAGCGGGAGCGUCCAAGAUGCUAGACAACGUAGAGAAAAGAAGAGCAAUUCCUCUCCCCUCCGCCGGUUACUGUCCCUCUUCCUCGUCCGGCAGCUCCUCACGUUCGUCUUCCCCGUAUAACAAAACCAAUACUCACCAACCUCAAUAACACCGAACUACAGGACCUCGUCAGUCUGGGAAGGUUCUAUCCAGCUCGCUGCCGCUCGUGUAGGCUGCCGUUGUGUGGUUCGUUUUUUCUUCGUCCUCGUUUUGCUUUCACUCGUGGUAUCUUUCCUACUAAUAUUCGUUCGCUGUUCUUGUUCGGUUACCCGUACCGUAAAAGUUCGCUGUUCUUGUUCGGUUACCCGUACCGUAAAAUACUUUUUACUCGUCUCUCUGGUCCGCACCCUGACCACGAACCAUCGUUGUCGCUAAGGAAGUCCGUAAAGCUAAGGUCAUUGGUGUUCAAGAUCCCUUCUACAUACAAAGGAUGUUUCCCAAACUCAAACUCUCCGUGUCUUCUUCAAUGUUCACAACGUCGAAUAAACAGAAAUAUCACUGUACAUAGCUGUUUGCUAACAAUAUAAGUCAUACGAUCCCACACAGGAUAAAUAGUACGUCUAAGACAUAAUCCACGAGCUAUCUCCAUUGUUUUCGAUUGUCUCUAGUCUUAUAUAAAAAUGAAUAUAAAAACAGAAAGAAAAUCAAGACACAUCAGAAAUAAAUGGUACAUUACUAAUCAAACUUACGAAUAUCACCAAUAUGAAAGGGAUAUUUAAACAACCCAUCUAAUAUUAAGGCAAUGAACUAAAUCCUGUCAUAUACCAAGAUACUAUGUCCUAAAUCUCCUUGUAUAUACCCUAAAACAAAAAGUCCAGUGUGAACAGGGUAUAAGACAAUGAAAGGGAUAACUAAAAUCGAACGUUAACUCAUUCUACGUCCGACCCUUAAGAGGGAACACACAGUCUUAGACUUCAUAAACUGGUAAACCCAAGUGAAGAUAGUACACAACAUAGGAAGGAGAUAAAACUCUAAAUGAUCCGCGUACGUCCAAUCAACAACAAAGUUUGUACAGUUACUUUCCAUUAUUACAAUUUUAACCAAGGGGUUCCCGGUUCCACCACUACUAGUGAAACACGAAGAAAAGGAUGAACAAGAUUUUUACUAAGAAGAUCCACUACAACUAAAUCCAAAAACACCAGCACAGUAUGUGGUUAAUGGCAGCUCUACCCAUUACCAUACUCUUACCCCGAGGUUCCUACACUUUUACCAGACCUUCUGUCUCAAUCGUCGCUGUACACAGGAGUUCAUUAAAGAACGGUUUCCACUACACUUCCAAUCGAUGACACUAGUUCCUUUAUUGUACAUAGACACACCAAACAAGGACGACAACUAGCCGACAACGACGCAAAUUCCAUACAACACGGGCCACGAUGAAUUACUAUAUAUUUUGGAUAUCGACAUGUAUUUUGCGGAACUAUACGUUUAUUGGGUCAAUUUUAUUUACCCAACGCGGUAGAUCGUAAUGUACUACUGUACGGUUUGUGAAACGGUGGAUCCUAUCAGAUAUAAACAUAAAGUAAGUCAAUAGAGUAUAAAGGUCAUUUUUUUGAGAAGCGAAACCCCAAAACCUUAUUAGAAGUCCUUCAACCACUGCUCAAUCAUCUUGAAUAUCUUUAACAUCUUUUAUCGGGGAUGCCUUAAUGUUUCUCGCUCUUAUUCCUUCGGCCGUUUGAAUCACGAAGUACCAUAAAGUCAUCUUUCCUUUAUCUUCUCUUAAGAGGCAGAUUCUCCCUACCGUAACUAAAUUUCUUUCUCUCAAUGGAAGCCUUUAGCAUAACGUGAAUAGAUGUUCUAAACCCCUACGCCGAGUUUCACAUUCUAUAAAAUACAGGAAGAUACGUAAAUAGCUAUGACAUCGGACAACCGACUGACAGGGAAUGAAUAGGUUUUUGUAACUCAAUACGAUGAAUGGGUUGGUCUACAAUUUAUGAAGUUUUACACAGAAAUAUACCAGUAACAUAGCAUUAACGAAGAGGACUACACAAAAACAAAAUGUGGUCGUAUAUAAACCAGGUCUCUAUAAGUUAACAAACAGACUAUUCUAUUAUAAAAUGAAGAAAUACCUCGUGAGAAUACCGUUCGUGUAAAAAAGACCUACUUGACGACCAACCCAAAAAAGAGGUAUUUAUGCUAUUUAAUAGUAUAGAUACUUUACAAUUCUAUAUGACUUUUAUACGGGACAUACUACCACCAGACCGUAAAAUCUUAACAAAACCCGUUAAGUACAAACAUACGUAAAAAAGAAAAGCGGGAACUUCCGUAGAAAUUAUCAAACGUUAACGCUAUCUUUAAAGACACGAGUAUAGAAAUCAAAAAUAAUGUUAACCAGCUCGAUGUUGCUCACGCAGACUAAGGUUGAGUAGUUCCACUCGAGGGAGAAAAUAAGAAGAGUCCAUUACUCCGUAGCCACAUCCGGGUUAGAAAAACAAACAACGAAACUUCUCACAACAGUACAACACCUUUCCGUUGUACACGAACUAUACACCUCAACCACAACUCGGACCGCCAUCAUCUGUCCCUUCCGUGGGUAGAGUGAACUAGAACUCUCAACUAAGUAUAGAAAAAAAGAACUGGACUAACUCAAGGAUAUAUACGUUCCUAUUUCUUCUUCCCCGUAACAGCACCAACAACGAAUUCCACAUUCAGUCCUCGACUAACGGCCCUGACUACUGUUCUUGCCUCUCGUCCUACUCAUACAGUUGUACUACAAGGAACUACAACCGGAAGAAAAUAUUUCAAGUGUACGUUGAGAGGAGGUACCAAUCUUUUUUGAUUAAACUUGCAAAACAAAGAAACCACCAAUAAGUAAAGAGAAUGGUAACUACAUAGUUUUGUUAACAUAAAAGCAACUACCGGUGAACCCGAGUAAAAGCUCCUCUUACUCUACACCUUAUUUGAUGAGACUUUACCAACCAAGGGAAGUCUGUCAAAUAAUCGAUUGAUUAAAACCGACGACC
RNAcentral lists this ribosomal RNA (3492 nucleotides) under Triticum aestivum (bread wheat). RNAcentral describes it as "partial small subunit ribosomal RNA". Lineage: Eukaryota; Viridiplantae; Streptophyta; Magnoliopsida; Poales; Poaceae. The record is from RNAcentral.